Molecule: ribosomal RNA, 500 nt
Filed under: uncultured bacterium
Lineage: Bacteria
Description: partial 16S ribosomal RNA
Rfam family: Bacterial small subunit ribosomal RNA
Source: RNAcentral
AUUGAACGCUGGCGGCAUGCCUUACACAUGCAAGUCGAACGGCAGCACGGACUUCGGUCUGGCGGCGAGUGGCGAACGGGUGAGUAAUACAUCGGAACGUGCCCGAUCGUGGGGGAUAACGGAGCGAAAGCUUUGCUAAUACCGCAUACGAUCUACGGAUGAAAGCAGGGGACCGCAAGGCCUUGCGCGGACGGAGCGGCCGAUGGCAGAUUAGGUAGUUGGUGGGAUAAAAGCUUACCAAGCCGACGAUCUGUAGCUGGUCUGAGAGGACGACCAGCCAGACUGGGACUGAGAAACGGCCCAGACUCCUACGGGAGGCAGCAGUGGGGAAUUUUGGACAAUGGGCGCAAGCCUGAUCCAGCCAUGCCGCGUGCAGGAUGAAGGCCUUCGGGUUGUAAACUGCUUUUGUACGGAACGAAACGGCUCUUUCUAAUAAAGAGGGCUAAUGACGGUACCGUAAGAAUAAGCACCGGCUAACUACGUGCCAGCAGCCGCGGUAA